UUUCUUUUUUAAUUUUUUACUUUUUUACGUUUUUCACCGAUAAUUAAAUCCGAUGAAACAUUCGGAUUUAGUCGUAAUUUCAACUUCCGUUAUCGUGCGAACUAUUGUUUUAAUGGUGUUUCAAAAUGGAAAUGUAUGUUCGAAGAAAGAAGCAACAAAGUAAGUUUCUUUGUUGAUAUUAACAAGCACAGAAUGAUUGUGCGACCCGAGGAAGAUAUAGUUUGACCUGUGAACAUUUUUCUCUAACAUGAAAUUCAUGGUAGGAGAAUAACUUUUAUCGUAAAUUUUAUUUCUCUUUUCAUUAAACUAUGCCAGGUCAAGGUUAAUUUAUAUUUUUACGUUUACCAUUUAACGUUCUUUCUUCCUCAAUGGUUAGUUUCUAACUGAUCGUUCAUCAUGAAGGAAGUCGGGCUCAGUAGAGUCAAUAAGGAACUCAUAAGCAUGGAAGAAGGACUAGUCGGGAAUGGGAAAACUUCAUGCAUGAAGUAUAUUAAAAUGAAUAAUAGUUUAAAACGAAUAAUAGAAUGCGUAAAAUUAAUUCUCUUAUUGGAAAUGUUGCUUUGCAUUGGAUGGGGUUGUUACACAAUGUGGCAAAAUUGUCACAUCGAAUCGAUGGAAGUCAAGGCCAUAAAUAAUAUUCCAGAAUCGAAAAAUCUGUUUACUUCUAAGUGUGAUAAAUGUAUAAUAAACGCGGUUGAACAGCUCAAUAAAUCGAACGAUAUUUUAACGAAAAAUAUGUUAAAACCGACGGAGAUUUCAAACAUCGAUAACGAAACCGAUGCGAAUAUCAAUGGAGCGGAAGAUAAUUUGCAAAACGUGGAAGAUGACUUAUUAUUGGUAAUAAAUAACGAUAAGAAGAGCGCAUUAGAAGAUGCUAAAUAUUUCGUCGAUUUUCCGAUCGAAAAUGAUAAUUUAAAUUCAACGGAAAAGGAAUUUAAAGAAAAUUUAAAAAUCGACGAAUCGACAAAAUAUGAUAAAGAUUCAUCGGAUACGUGGACGAACGAAUCGUCGGAAAGAAGCGAGAAAGAAAUGCGACAAAAUGUACAAAGGAAUUUAGAAAAUUAUUCGAUUUUCUUGUUGAUCUUGGAAAAUUCUAUGAGAAAUACACCAGUCUCGGACAGUUCUACUACCGAGGACAAUUACAAUUUGGAAGAUUUUAAGGUAUCCAAUGAAUGGUUAAACAAAGAAUUUACAGACGAAAAUAGAAAAGUUUUUACAUCGGAAUCACACAUGGAUGUUGAUAAUACGGGAGAAAAGUCGGAAGAAAAGAUAAUUUCUAUGGAAAAUCCUAUCAAUAACGAAGAUGUAAAUCAAAACGAAAUGAACGAUGAAUGGAAUCAACGACAAAUAAUUUCUGAAAUAAUGGAAAACGACUAUAAUGAUAUGAACGUAGCGUUUAACGAGAAAAAAAAUAUUUCGGAUAAUAUAAAUAUUUCAGAUUUAUCCAAUUAUUCGCCUUAUAUAUAUUAUCCGGAUUAUUUAUAUGAUACAUAUUAAAUUAUAAAUAUGUAAAAAAGAUUUCCGAAAUUCAAACAUUCCACUGUAAAAAAGAUAGAUGAUUUUGAUUGACAACAUCUAGGAAUAUUCUUGUUACGUCUGUAUAAAUAAAAACCAUACAUCUGGACGAAGAAAAGAAGAGAAAUACGACUAUUAAACAUCGUACUUGGUGUAUGUAAAUACGAAAAGAUGAAUUUAUAUAUAAAUAUAUAAGUUUAAAAUUAUCGAGAAUACGUAAACGUGAGCAAUAAAUAUGAAAUGAAGAAAGAAUAACUUGUAUGGUCAUUAUCAUUGUAUGUAUUUACGACUAUAUUGCGAAUAAAAUCUUUUUUUUAUUUGUAACGAAAAAUUAUCUUUCCGAUGAAAAAUUCGUUAAAAAAUUUCCAUAAGAUGCGCGAUACUUUUAUGCCAUAUAUUCUUUUCUAUUAUACGUUAUUAAGAAUUGUUAUAUAUCGUAUUGUAAAAAAUGAUACGAUUGUAAGAAAUCAUUAAUAAAAUAAUAAAACGAUAGGUACAAUUAAAAGAAUAUCAAAAAUUUGAAAAAAGCGAUCAAAUAUUAAUUUAUUUCCGUAUUUUAUAAUUGACGUGUAAUUCAAAUAAUUUAUUAUAUGAACGAUAAAAUAUUGUAAGAAAAAGAAAUAAAUAUUUAUUUCCAAUAGUA
This is an RNA transcript of Apis cerana (Asiatic honeybee), 2158 nucleotides long. It is a transcript of the gene named protein PFC0760c, with no coding region annotated. The record is from RefSeq and is a predicted model, not a curated record. Lineage: Eukaryota; Metazoa; Arthropoda; Insecta; Hymenoptera; Apidae.